RNAcentral lists this ribosomal RNA (431 nucleotides) under uncultured bacterium. RNAcentral's name for it is "bacterial SSU rRNA". It matches the Rfam family "Bacterial small subunit ribosomal RNA", at positions 372 to 793 of the family's 1533-position model. The record is from RNAcentral.
UGGGGGAAGCCCUGAUGCAGCCAUGCCGCGUGUGUGAAGAAGGCCUUCGGGUUGUAAAGCACUUUCAGUAGGGAGGAAGGUAGUGUAGUUAACACCUGCACUAUUUGACGUUACCUACAGAAGAAGCACCGGCUAACUCCGUGCCAGCAGCCGCGGUAAUACGGAGGGUGCGAGCGUUAAUCGGAAUUACUGGGCGUAAAGCGCAUGCAGGCGGCCUGUUAAGUCAGAUGUGAAAGCCCCGGGGCUUAACCUCGGAAUUGCAUUUGAAACUGGCAGGCUAGAGUCUUGUAGAGGGGGUAGAAUUUCAGGUGUAGCGGUGAAAUGCGUAGAGAUCUGAAGGAAUACCAGUGGCGAAGGCGGCCCCCUGGACAAAGACUGACGCUCAGACUGCGAAAGCGUGGGGAGCCAAACAGGAUUAGAUACCCUGGUAG